CUACGGGGGGCUGCAGUGGGGAAUAUUGGACAAUGGGGGAAACCCUGAUCCAGCAAUGCCGCGUGUGUGAAGAAGGCCUGCGGGUUGUAAAGCACUUUCGGUUGGGAGGACUGCUUCUAGCACUAAUAUUGUUGGAAGUUGACGUUACCUUCAGAAGAAGCACCGGCUAACUCCGUGCCAGCAGCCGCGGUAAUACGGAGGGUGCAUGCGUUAAUCGGAAUUACUGGGCGUAAAGCGCGCGUAGGCGGCUAGAUCAGUCGGGAGUGAAAGCCCCGGGCUUAACCUGGGAACUGCAUCCGAUACUGUCUAGCUUGAGUACAGGAGAGGAGAGUGGAAUUCCACAUGUAGCGGUGAAAUGCGUAGAUAUGUGGAGGAACACCAAUGGCGAAGGCAGCUCUCUGGCCUGAUACUGACGCUGAGGUGCGAAAGCGUGGGGAGCAAACAGGAUUAGAUACCCUUGUAGUC
RNAcentral lists this ribosomal RNA (465 nucleotides) under uncultured bacterium. Its description in RNAcentral is "partial 16S ribosomal RNA". It matches the Rfam family "Bacterial small subunit ribosomal RNA", at positions 339 to 795 of the family's 1533-position model. The record is from RNAcentral.